GCGGCGGCGGCGGCGGCGGCGGCGGCGGCGGCGGCCUUCCGGUGCCUCCUCUUGCGGCCGAAGCGGGAGACGGAUCCGGCGCGCAGCACGUCCUCGGCGCUCGUCCGCCGGAUGGCCACCGUGCCCCGGGGACAGUGCCCGCCGUGGUGCCACGUCUGCCACGCGCCCCGCCUGCUGUCCUUGCCUGCGCCGCUGCCGCUGCCGCUCCCGCUCCCGUUCGUCGCAGAGCCAGACGGGAAGGAGAGCGCGCCGCCGCCCCUCGGCGCCUCGGGCGGCUCCGUCUGGACGGCGUGCGCCCUGAGGAGCGGGUGGUCCAGGCCGUGCUGCUCGUGCGCCGCCACGCAGUCGAUGGUGUCGCCGUCCUGGCUCUGAAACAAACGAUAGCCGACGACCCCCCACCGUCCAUCAGCCAUGCAUGUAUGUAUGUAUGCGUGGUCGUCAACCGGGAGACAGACAGAAAAACG
Molecule: unclassified non-coding RNA, 464 nt
Filed under: Zea mays
Lineage: Eukaryota; Viridiplantae; Streptophyta; Magnoliopsida; Poales; Poaceae
Description: misc RNA Zm00001eb038590
Source: RNAcentral